Molecule: long non-coding RNA, 4358 nt
Filed under: Sus scrofa (pig)
Lineage: Eukaryota; Metazoa; Chordata; Mammalia; Artiodactyla; Suidae
Description: lncRNA (ENSSSCG00000061180.1)
Source: RNAcentral
GAAAAGGUCUUGGUUCUACAUCAGAAGAUUGGUAACACUGAAAGCUUCACGGCAACUGAUGGAUGAUAUAAAUGUAGGACUGAGUCAUGGUACCCAGGCAGUGGGCCCUGGAGGGCACAAAUUACCUACCGAUCAAUCUGCUGCUCAAAAACGUGUAGAGGAGUUAAAGUCACUUAUCAGUAGGAAAACUUUAAUUAGGGGAUAAUGGAUAACUCUCCAUUAAAGUUGAAACAGUUCUAACUUACAUUUUCCAGAAAACCAUGGGGCAAAGGGUAAAGCAGGAGCUAUGAUUAUACACAAAAUCCAAGCACAGAUUCUCAGGAGCUGCUGGGAGCAGUGCAGGUGGAAUUCCAAAUUUUGACUUUUCAUUAUUGGCAAAAGAAAGGGCCUCUGAAAUUGAAGAGAUAUAAAUUGUUUGUUUUUACAAGAUAAGUACUCUUCACAAAAAUCAGCGUAGACAGAUUCUGAAUUAUUCUAAAAUUGAUUUUUUUCCUGUGAAUAUACACAUUCUGUGAAGAAACACUUGAAGAAAAUAGACAUCUAAAAAUCCUAUGCUUUAUCAAUGUUUUUAAAAUUAUGGGUUUUGACUCUUGGUGGGUCAUGAAAUAAAGUUACUGAGUUCUGGAAAAGGAUUUGAAACAUAAAGUGAAGUAGAAUAAAACAACAGAAAAUAUCAGUGUGCAUUGUAUGUUGUUUAAGGUAUUUCAUGAAAAUUUGUCUCAUUAUAUGUGUGUAUAUGUGUGGCAUGUGUGUAUAUGUGAGAUAAAAUUUCUAACUGUGAUGUACAAUUUCUCUUACCUUAUAUUUCUGGUCAAAACUUUGAAGGCCUUUGGUCUAAUGUAAUGCUUCUUCAUGUUUUAGUUAUGAACAAUAUAAAGAAGUAAUAUAAAGCCAGGUUUUCACAACAUACUGCAUCUUCUUUGUUUCAAGCUACAGAUCCUGGGAUUAUAAAAAGUCUGAAAGAUAAUUUUGGAGUUUCAUUUCAGAAAAAAAGGAAGACACAUAUAUAUGUAUAUGUAGGUUACACAUAAUCAUUAAAAAUCAUUGACAUUAAAGGAAAUUUUCCUUUCAAUUUAGCGGGUGUGAAAUUCUCAGUUGGCUAUUUACUAAAUCUCAGAGAAGAGAAAAAUGUUGCCUGAGCUUGACAACACUGGAAAAAUUCUGAACUACAAGAGAAUAAUUAAGAAUACCGUGUAGUAAAAGCCCCCAGACAAAGUGAAGGUUCCAAUGAUUUACAGAAAGAGGAUUAUUUAACAAUGAUAUUUAACGAUUCCUACUUAUUGCAAUAUAUACUUAGUGUCAGGGAUGAAAUCUUUCUGGUCAUGACAGAAAUAGACAAAUUAAACAAUGGAGGAGACAGGGAAAAGGAAGUAUGAUAUCAACUCAAAUCUUCUCAUCAUGCAGAAGCCACAGUUGUACUUCGUUCUAUUGAAUUGGUGGUCAACUAUGUUAUAAUGUAUAAAACAUGCACAUGCUUCAAAAACAUGUUUCUAGAGCUGUGUUCCUUCUUCAGCUGUGUUCCUUCUUUGAAACACCUUCCGAAUAUUGGUUAUAUUAAGUGAAGGAAUAGUUACAUAUUUUAAAUUAAAGAAAUAUAUAUAGUUUUAGAUGUAUCAUUUUAUGAUACUCUGCUUUAACUGACGUUCCACUUGUGGGAACAAUACUGGUCUUGAUGGUUUGCAUAAGAAGGCUUCUACUGUUGCUAUCACCAUCUAUUGCCAGUGUUUGUUUUUCUGUCUUUCAUGCCAGGACCUAGUUUGGAUUCAGACCUCCUGGGUGAGACCCUAGCUUGUCUACCACCACUAGAGAGGCUCUGGAUAUGCAAUUCAGUCUCUCUGAACUUGAGUUCUCCCAUUGGAAGAAUGAGGCUGGGAUAUUACUUGAUUUUAUUAGAUUGAAGCUCAGAUAAUGUAUGUGAAGCCCUAAGUGUAGGGUCAGGUGGACAGUAAAUAUUCAACAAUGAUAGUUUUCUCUACUCUGAUGUCUUCAAUUUACUAUAAUAUGAUUGCUAUUGUCUUUUAUAAUUUCAAAACAGUUUUCCAGGAUAAAUUUUAGAUUGCCUGCCAUGGCAAUCAUUUCCAUUGCUCCCCAAAUCUUUAGGAGUUUUCUCAGAAUAGCAACAGUUAAAAUGCUAAUGACAGCUUAUAUUUUGAUGGCAUUUGAUAACUUAACUUUGAUGUACGUGGUAUAAUGGGCUUCAUUUUCUGGGUUUCAUAGUUCAGGAUCACAAGGCUCCGAGAGGUUAAUUUAUCCACUCCAGGUCACCCAGAUCAUGGAUGGGAGAAGAGGAGGGACCGAAGCUCUCCUGGCACCGUGCCCAGUUCUUUCCAGCCCUUUCUGUCACGUAUGCAGUGCUCUGCAUGAGCCAACGUGGAUCGCACAGCAUGUGAAGCAGCCUUCCCGGAGAACUCGGAAACCGGUCCAGCUUGGAGGAAUCUCAUUAGCACUUUUCAAAGCUUUACCCCGACUGCAUUUUAAGUUGUAUAAUUUUUCUGGAUCUGGAUCUCGAAUGAAUGCUGGUUAUUGGCAAGCACUGCAUCUCAUUCGGGGAAAGCGUUCCUCAUCACAUGAUUCAAACUGUAUCCAAAGACUAGAGAAGAGGAAACACAAAAACGCUUCAAAUGAAAGGCAUUUAGAGAGUCUCCUGCUACUUGACUUAUAAAAAUAAUGGCAAUGAUUCAUAAAGGUCGCUGUCUAAUUCCUUCAAGACCCAAGAAUUCAUGCAUCUGGACCUCCUGGUUGUUCUCUGUUCAGUUUCUCCACGAAGCCCCUUGCCUCUGUUUUGCCACAGCUAAAAUAAAUUACCAGGCUUCUCUUGUCCAUAUACAUGACAAUUUGAGGCUUUAAAACAAUGUACAUUAAAAAAAAAAAAAAGGAUUUCGGCAGCUUGGAAAUUUGCAAUGUUAGUAAUGCUUGGUACUUUUUAUCUUGAUAUAUAUAUUUUAAUCACAUCUACACUGUUGGCUGGGGUCAAGUCAUUCUGCAUUUUUUGCUGGGUUAUUUGCUUUUCUCAGCCUUCCUAGAUUUAGAAAGCUUAAUUUUAUUCCUUUCUCCAUUUUGUUAGGCUCAUAGUCACUCUUAAAAGAAUCAAAAUCUCACCCAGAAACAACUUGCUGGCCAUUUCCUAGAAUUUAUGGUUGUAGGGAGUACACUGAUUUAAUAAAAUAGAAGUUUUUUUUUUUGCUUUUUUAUAAGGGCCACACCCGCAGCAUAUGGAAGUUUCCAGGCUAGGGGUUGAAUCAGAGCUGCGGCUGCCAGCUUAGGCCAUAGUCACAGCAAUGUGGGAUCCAAGCCGUGUCUUCGACCUGCACCACAGCUCACGGCAACGCUGGAUCCUUAACCCACUGAGCUAGGCCAGGGAUGGAACCUGAGUCCUCAGGGAUACUAACUGGAUUCGUUUCCACUGCGCCAAGAUAGGAACUCCCAGAAGUUUCUUUUUGAAAGUGUUUUUCCCAUUGGCCAUUUCUGUUCUGAUCUUCCAUGUAUGUGUAUUUAUAUAUUUCAUUACUUUUUUGUUCUUAUUUUUUUCUUAAACCAUAGCAUGAGCCCGGGUAGACCUGGGUUUGAAUCCCCAGCUCCUUUUACAUUUUGUGCAUUUUCAAGGUUCUAGAAGGACAGAUGCCUCUAGGAAGAAGUUUCUCACGCCCUUCCCAUGGUUUAGGGUGGCAGGCAUUCCUUCCACAUGUUCUGGAAUAAUCCCUCACAUAUGGCUAUGUUGGGGAGUGGCGAGGGAAAGUCAGGGUCAAGAUAAACAUGAGGAAGGAGUGGGAGGAUUUGGAAAAGAUUAUUUCUCUCAAGAGCACGUAAUCAUGCUAUACAAAGAAACUAAUGAGCAGGAUUUGGAGAUGCCUGAAGUCCAAGACAUAGUUAGAGCUUAAAGUUAAAAGCCUUGAUUUUCUAGACUAAAAUUCCCCAAGUCUUAAAGACUUAAGCAGUUGAAAGACCCUAAACCAUUCAUAGUUCACUUAUCUUCAGCUGUAACUUAGGAAUUAACACCUGUCCCGGAAACACACAAAGCAGUCUUUUCUGGAAGAUGAGCUGCUGAGAAAUUUUCCUGCCACGGUAGACACGAACUACUGUUUUCGUUCAUACAGUGCCUUUGAACACCCUUUAUCUAUCGGGAAAAUUCCACUCUGUAAAACCCAUUCCUCUUAAGAUAGAAACCAGAAAUCUGGAAGUUCCCGGGGUGGCUCAGGGAAGGGGGCACGAGUUUGAUCCCUCAGUGGGUUAAAGAUCUGGCAUUGCCAUGAGCUGUGGUGUAGGUUGCAGAUGUGGCUUGGGUCCGCUCUUGAUUCGACCCCCUAGCCUGGGAACUUCCAUAUGCCAUGGGUACCAUCCUAAAAAGACCCCUGCCCCUC